UUUGGCCUGAGGUGACCCAACACUGGAGCCUACCUGGCUCUUUGGUGGGGCUAAUGGUGGAUCUGGGAGGGUUCACGCCAAGGAACACUUCCCAGAACUUCUGCUGCCAGUGUCCUUGUCCCCGUGGUGAGCCACUGCCACCCCCCACCUCUGCAGGAGACCCUCCAACACUAGCAGUUGCAGACCUGGAACUAAGUAUCUAAGUUCUGAAAACAGCCAUCAGAAGUAUCCACAGCCUCCUACGGAAGCGCCAUUCUCCUCCUCCACAACACAUUCCACUCGUGCCCAGAAAUGUAGCAGAUGCCCAGAGCUGAUUAAAGAAAAGACUCGGUCGGUCUUUCCCUUCAUGGAGUUUAUGUCCCACCCAUCACCAGGUGCUUACGUGCCUCCUCGUGCAACACACAAGCAAACCACCAGCGAUGGGACUGAGCAAUAUAACGCGUGUGAUUGGAUGAUUUAGUCACGUGUUCCCUACUCUUGGGCAGACACUCACGUGCCUGUCAGGCAUUUUGUUUUGUCCACAGUGUUUCUCCCCUCUUUGCAGAGGGCUUGGGGAAGAGGUGCAAUGAAAAGGAAAUUGGUGGAAAACAAGAAACAAAAAAGGAGAGACGUUUUCUGAGUACAUAUUAGAAAUUUGUUUACUUUCUAUUUAUGUAUUCACUUGUUUGUUUAUGUAUUUAUUACCUUGCCUCAUUCUAGAAAGAUAUUUAAAGCAGCAUAUGAUACAAGCACCACAUCAUUAUGAAAAUAGAAAAUCGGAGGGAAGGAGAGAAAAAGAAACUAAGAUAAGGGAAAGUUCACAGGAAACAUCCUGACCAGGCCCACCUAUGAAUGGCUGCUGGAAGGAAGAAAUGAACACAUCACCUCUGGAACUAGGAAAUGUUUGACUUCACUCUCACCUCUUUGAGUAUAAAAGAAGCCUGAAUUCUAAUUCAGACAAGAUGGUUCUUUGGACAGUAGUCCACUAUCUUCUUGGUCUGCUGGCUUUCCAAAUAAAGUCUCUAUUCUUUGCCUAAAAAACUCGUCUCUCGAUGUAUUGGCCUGUCGCGGUGCGAGCAAUACAAGCUUGGACUCAGUUACACUAACACUGUCUCUCCCAUUUAGGAGGAAGGAAGACCAGCCAAACCCUUUCUAGGAUUUCAGUGUCUGCCUACAUUUGAAAAGAGGAGGGAGUUCAGAUCAGUGAAGUAUGCUCUGUGGGGCUGUGGUCUGGCCCACUGACCGUGACUCCUGUGUCCCGUGGCCUGGUCGCAAGCCCUAAAAUACCAUAGUAAAAAGACAUGUAAGAACUCAGUGAAAACCCAGGAGGAAGGUUGUAUGUGAAUGUGGGUGUGGAGAGUUCCCAUGGUUGAUCAGCCCUGGUGCCUGAGAAGAACUGUGUUGGAAUACGGGGCUUCCUGAUCAUUUCCAGAUGGUGGCAUGCAUGGAAAGUACAGUACUCGUGGCCAGAGGGGCCAGCUGCGGACUUAGACUGCCACAGCCUCACCUGGCUACCCCUAGCACACCAGUACCUCCUCAACCCUCUCACCCCAUCAUGGCAUGGGAAGUCCUGCUAAUGGAAAGACCCCCUGG
Molecule: long non-coding RNA, 1572 nt
Organism: Aethalodelphis obliquidens (Pacific white-sided dolphin)
Lineage: Eukaryota; Metazoa; Chordata; Mammalia; Artiodactyla; Delphinidae
Exons: 3
Source: RefSeq, a predicted model, not a curated record